GAUGAACGCUGGCGGCGUGGAUAAGGCAUGCAAGUCGAAUGGGUUUAGACCCAUGGCGAACGGGGUAGUAACAGGUAGGAACGUACCAUAGAGUCGUGAAUAAUCUAUUGAAAGAUAGGCUAAUACACGAUACGCCUUCGGGUGAAAGAUUUAUCGCUCUAUGAUCGGCCUGCUUCGUAUCAGCUAGUUGGUAGUGUAAUGGACUACCAAGGCAAUGACGCGUAGGGGAGCUGAGAGGCUGACCCCCACCAAUGGCACUGAGACACUGGCCAU
RNAcentral lists this ribosomal RNA (273 nucleotides) under uncultured bacterium. RNAcentral describes it as "partial 16S ribosomal RNA". It matches the Rfam family "Bacterial small subunit ribosomal RNA", at positions 28 to 334 of the family's 1533-position model. The record is from RNAcentral.